GAUGCUUAAGACUGCAGAAGAUUUGGUGCCCUGAGUCAAGGAAUAGUCAGAGAGAUUCAUUUCUACUCAGACCAGAGAUGACAGAAUCAAGCUUGGAGAUUAUGGCAGUAGAGAACAUAGCAUUCGGGAGCUUUGGGAAGGAAGUCAGCUGCAGCAAGAAGGACUUCAGGAAUCCGGGCGAAAGAAAAUGAAGCAGUAGAAAUGAGUAUCUUAGCUACAUCCCUGAAUUCUUCAGAGUCAGUAAAGAGGAAUUACAAGGAGCGCUUGCUCAGGAAAUCUUCUAAGUGCCUGGAGUAACUAGCAACUGUAAAAGAGAAAUGCUUUACAUUUUCAAGAGUCAAGGAUAGGAACAAAAAUGUUGGCUUUGAUCUCCCCUGAUGCAGCAGAUCUCUACUCUUUCCUUGUAAAGAAUCCAGGAUGAUUUUCUUAGUGAAUUUCUACUGGAAAACAGUGAAAAUUUCAUUUAUCAGUCUGAAAUCUAUCCUCUCUGUUUUGCAAAGGAAGAAUGCAAUGAGAAAUAUACUCAUCGUACGCUGACAGGUUGGGCUAAACUUGGAUUUAUCCAAGUAAACAUGGCUCAAUUUGACACUCUCUGGUGAAUAAAGAGUGGAUCUGUUCUUCAGAGUGCAUCAGAGGGGAUCUGACUAUAUUCAAGACUGAGAAUCAACAGAAGGAUACUAAAAUUAUUUGAAAUUAACUAUGAAAUGUUACUAACUUGUCUUCAAUAAUGAUGUUUUUCCAGGCCAUUCUCAUUCUCUGUAUAAAAAGAAUGUUCAAGAAAUUGUAUUUUAAUGUUUUUCCUCUACAUGUUUGUCAUCAAGAAUCUAAGACUGAACUGCAUGUUGCAUAGUAUAAAUUACAAGUUCACUUCUAUAGAUUUGGGACCUCCAGAUUAAAAAGUCUAAAGAUACUUUUCAUCUUAUACGUAACUUCCAGAGCUAACAAUAGAACUCAUAAAUGACCCCCCAUUAACAGAGUUCAGUCUAUAUUCAAAGUGCUUCCAAGUAGAGUACAUAGGAAAAAAAAAAAAAAGAAAAAAAAUAGGGCUUUUGAUAGAAUGAUGCUAAAAUCAGUACAAUUUAUUUAUUUAUUUAUUUUCAAUCAAGUAGCUUUUCUCUUAUUAAAACUGAAAUAUUUAAAACUUAAGUUGAAUUUCAUUUUCUACAGUUCACUAAGUCUUAGCCGUGAAUAUAGUAAAUACAUCUAUAUUUAUAGUAAUAGGGAGAAAGAAUCUUACUUUUUUUUACAGAGAGAAAAGAUAUUGGAUUAAAUUUUGUAUUUCAUGCUCCAGAAAGGAUGUUUUUGGCAAUUCAAGUCUUUGAUCAGUUGGAAACUGAUUGUAGACCAUGCUGUAUUUUGAGACAGAAUUAAAUGAAAUGUCUCCAAACACCUGAAAGCCAAUGUACUCCCUUAGGAGAGUGGCAAACCAGGUUCUAAGAUUGAUUUUGUUAGUGGUAGAACUACUCCAGUAAUCUUUAGAAAAAAAAAAAAAAAAUGAAAGACAGAGAGAGAGAGAGAGAAAUAAUUGCAGGGCGUAGAGAAAACUCAAGUACUCAGUAGGUCAUGUCAAAAAGCAACAGGUAUUGUGAGGCUGAAUGAUUAUGUGACUCAGAAAAUAUUUGGUAGUCAGACUUGUGGUAUAAGAAAUGCACAUGUGUUUACUUUAUAAUGCUAAUUUUUCUGAUUAUUCAAAGACUUAGACAAUGUGAUGCCUAUAUUGACAUCCCGUUACAUUGUUUAUCUGGAGUGGAAUAUGGGGAUGGAAUAUAAUGACAAAAAUACAGACACAUUAGGGGAAAAUAUUUGCAUUUACAUGUGUCAAACAGUAAUCAAAUUUUCCUGCAUGGUAAAGACAUGUUCACUAGCCUAGUUUCAAUUUCUUUCUUUCUAUUUAUUAUUUGGAGGUACUUUGAAACACGUUAGAUGUUGAAAAUAUAUAUUUAUCUUUUCUCCCAGUUAUGUCUUUUCUAUCGUAUUCAAAGAAGCUUUCACAAAACUUACUUGACGAACUCAAAAAGGAGGAAGAGAUGUAUGGAUAUAUUCUCUACACAGAUAGUAAUAUCUGAAGCAGAAGAACAAAACAACAUCUCAAGAUUCAGUGCAGGUUAGGUAACAGGGAGUGGAUUGCAUCUUAUCUUCUCACUCCUGGACCAAUGCACUCCAAUGUUUUUCCCUGACCUCUUUCAUCUGGUUCCCAGUGAUAUAGUUUCAAUGAACUGAAGUUGUGAAGUUGCACAGAGCUUUUUAUUUACUUAAACUUCCAACAGUUGUACUACAAAAUUUUGUCAAGCAUCUUAUCACGUCUUCUGAUGAAACAGCUCAUAACAACAAUUUACAUGAACAUGACUUAUAAAGGCUUAUCAGUAAUUGCUUAAUAAUAAUAAUAAUAACUUUCAUUGCUACUUAAAAUAUUACUAUGUUUAUUUAGAAUGAUGAUUGUUAAUUAGAAGUCAGCAACCAGAGGUGAUGAAUAAAUUAUGAAGUACAUUUUUUGUCAGCGAUGGAAACAAGCAAGUGAACAGUAUGAUUUGUCACCGUAUUAUUGGCACUUGGGAAAAAGGAAGGGCUUUUGGAACAAUCCUUUAGGGAUCAAUUAAAAAUGUGCCCCAAAUUAUAAAAAAAAAACAACACUAGUAGUGAGCUCAAAGUCAUUCAGCCACUUCAUGAAGAGCAAAAAUGUAAAAUGCAGCUGAUGUGAGUUAUAUGCUUAAAUCCUGUACGUUCAAAUAUGCUAAAUGACAAAAAAUAUAUAUAUUAGAGAUUGUAUUCAUUAAAAGGACUAAAUGACAGUUUAGCCUGGAGAGUAUUAUUCAACAGAUACCAGUGGAGAAAAAGGGUAUUUCUUUUCAAAAGAGAGGCACAAAUUCUGCAAGGGAAGAGAAAGAAUCUGUCACAGUUAACCAUUUCCAGUUUCUUUUUGGUAAUAGAUGUUCUAUCAUGCUGCUAUUGCAUGUACUAGUGUCUGUAAAUGCUGCUGUUAUGCAAUGACCUCUGAUCAUCACACUACCAUGCACAUAAAAAUAUGUCCAUUUCUACUCCAUGGAUAUUUUCCAAGAGGAUAGGAAAAACAUAUGCUAAAUGCAAAUAAGAGUGAGAGAGGGCAGGAGCAGAAAAAAGUUUUGUGAAUUGCUCUUCAAGUACAAGAAAAAUGUAAACUAAGCAACAAAGUGUGGUGUAUGUCUGUUAGAUAAAAAAGAAGAAAAAAGGUGCUUACCUAAUGAGAGACUAGAGGAACUUUGAAAGAUAUGGGAAUGGAUUCAGACCAGAGGAAGAUAAGAUUUUAAAAACUGCAUUUAGUGUGUAGCAUGAAAAAAAAAAAAAUUACCAAGAGAAAUUACGAGAUGGAAACAGUGUAAAGAGAAUGCUUGAAAUUUUCCUACAAAUUGUUCAGACUAAAAAUUAGACAAAACCUAUGCUAGUGGGAAGGCUUUCUGAAUUUGAAAGAGACUAUGAGUUAAUGCUGUAAACCAUGUUGUUUCCAAAGGCUUUAGUGAUGAAGAGAAAUAGGAAAAAAUGAUUAGAAACAGAGAUCAAAGUUGAACAUUUUAAGAAGAGAGAGGGAGAGAAAAUAUUUCAGCAUCAGGGCAUUGAGUUACAUAUGAUUAACAAAACUUUGUCUUAAAUCUCAUGACACUCAUAUAGACUGAAAGAUAGUCUUCUAUCUGUCACUUGCUUUGUGAUUGGACUGGCUUUAUCUGUAUUUGAAUACAGAAUAUUUCUAUAUGUAUGUAAUUAUUUCUGCCUAUUGUGAUAUCUUUACUAUAUUUCUUUCUGAUUUUAGCCCAGCAUGGAAGUGAGGAAGAACACAAAAAACAAACAAACAAAAACAAAACAAACAAACAAAAAACUAGAGAAAGUUAAGACCUAUGUAACUAAUGAGUUCUUAUCACAGAGUAAAAAUCAUAUACAGGAUUCCAACAUUAUUUAACUACAUCUAACAAUUACAGGUCAGGUAUGAUUUGUUUUUCAAGAUGUUGAUGAACAGUUGAAGGAAGAUAGUGGAGCUGAGAAUUGGUCUAUGUAGAUGCUGAAAGCAGAAAAGUAGUCAGGAUUGUGGGCACAGAGUGAACAUUUAUCAAAAUGACAGUACUGGAAAUGGGUACAACCUCCACACAGAGAAAAAAAAAACAAACACAUUUGAAAGAGUGACUCAGGAAAUGUUUGAUUUACAGUGGAACUUUGUUUAAUAGUUUGGAAUAUGGAGAUUCAAUGGAUUAAUUUUUUUAUAACUAAAGAAAAAAACAAACAAAAACAUACUUCUGAUACUUACACAGCCAAGUAAAAUUAUUUAUUUUGUAUUUUCUGAACUAGCAGCUGUUUACUGGAUGUUUCUCCUUGCAGUAAAUUAUGUUUGAUUUUCAUCAGGAAAGACUUAGACUUUUUCUACCCUGUUUCCCCUUAAUAUUACAGAGAUUAAAAUACACGAUGUCAAGAGUAAGGAACAGAAUUUCUAUAAUACUUCCCCCAUUUAAUGAAAUUACUAUUUCAUUAUUUACAAAUAAAGAAAAAUGAGCAUAAAUGAGCCAUUUUGGAGAAGUUUUUGAAAGAACUACCAUUUGAAUAUUAGGAAAUGCAAGAAGUGCAACAAUAGUAUCAAGCAUAAAGAACAGAACAUAUUUCUAUUAGAAAUCUGCUUAAUGUACAAAGACUAAAGAAGUUCACAAUUUAGUCCUGCUUUGCUGUAUGCUGUAUUUGAAUUUUUGGAUGUAUCUCAUCUGUACCAUAUUGUUCUCUGCUGUAAAAUAGUAACAAGUGUAGCUCUUAAUGACAGGUUGUAGUGAUUAUUAAUUUAUUAAUAUUUUGUUGAAGAUUUCAGAUGGAAGAUGCUAAACUGAAGAAUUUAGCAUCAAAACAGAGUUAUUGCAUCUACUGCAGAGGAAACCUUAGCUCUCAGGUCUGCAUCAAAAUUAUUCAUGUCAAUCAUUUUGCUUAAGGAAAGCAGACUUCAGUGUGAAUGAUGGACACUUCUGAUUACAGAAGCAUUUCUCCCAACAGUAGAAGAGUCCCCCCCACAGCUUCACUCGUUACACCAUAGUGCACUACACGCAAAUUGUACUCUGGUGUUGUAUCAGUAGUUUCCUGGAUCAAUUUGUAUUUUUUGAAAACUCCUCUUUUGAAAAUUCCAACCUCUAAGUCAUCUUGCUUAGUUCUUCAGAUCAAAUCAGACAAGCUCUGACCAGAUGAUCUUUCCUUUUCAGUAGCAAAAUCAGAUUUGUCAUGCAAAAGUACUAUUUAUAUUCUAACAAUCUCCCCAGGAUUUAUCAACUGGCAAGGCAGCAUCCAUGUGACCCAGAAAGAGCUGACAAUGUUAGUGGAAAUUAUAGAAUUGAGAUUUUGACUCUAUAAGAGAAUAAUUUUGGUUCUUCUUUUUUAUACAUGCUUACCAAAAAAAAAAAGUAAGCCCCAAAUACUUAUCCCUCAAAGAGAAGAAAAGAGAAGAAGACAUGCUGCCAACUUAGACUUUUCUGAUGAACAUAUUAAUAUUUCUGUUCACAAAAUCUUACAGAAACUUUGAAUCAUAAUUUGUUUUGAAUAUAACAUGAAAAAUAAAGUAGCAUUCUCUGGGAGUAUAGUCAGAAAAAAACAAAAAUCUUUCAUCUUCUUCAAACUCUUCCAUUGCUGGUGGUCUUAGCCAAUCUUUUAUUCACCCAGUGAAUGCCAGAGCUUGACUGAGAUUUAUUACUUAUCAUUAAAUUCGCAGAUAUUUCAGACAUUGCACGUGCAAAAGCCAUUGUUAAAAAUAUAGUUUGAGACUAACUGUACUGUAACAGAGCAAAAUCUCUGAGUGUGAGUCCAAAAGAUUUAGGGCACUCAGUUUUGGUGGAUUUUUGGAAAAGAACAAUCUGCAAGGCUGCUGCAAUAAAUAAAACACAGUGGCUAAAUAAAUAAAUAAGUAAAUAAAUUAGUUAAGAGCUAGAACUACUUUAUCCUAUGUAGUCAAAAAAUAGAGAAGUAUGAACAACAUAAAAAUUGCUCUGACUUCUCAAAGAAAAAAAUAUAAGCAAGGGCUGAGUGGAACAAAGCACAUUCUCAAAAUGCAGGAAAAAGACUAAGAAAUAUAGGAUAUAGCACACAAAAAAAAUCCCAAGAUUACUGUUUCCAUAAGAACAAUCAAAAGAAAGGAAUAAACCUAUUCAAUCUCCUGCUAAUUCUCACAGAUCUGUGCCCCCUAUUGGAAUAGAGAUAUAAAUCUUGCUAACCUCAGAAAUAUAAAGACACAUCAAAAGUACAAAAGGUCACACCAAGUUUCAGGAGAAUCUUAAUCUUCAUGUUAGCUAUAGGAAAGUUCAGCCUACAUCUUUCAUGGCAGUGACUUAGAAAGAAGCUUUUAAAACUAGUACCCAAACUGUAAAAAUGAGAUUCAAAUGCAGGUUGUCAUCCUUAAAAUCAGAUUGGAACAGUAUUACUUCCUUAAAAGAAACAAUUAAAGACUGAAAAUAGUGCAGAUGCAGACUAGAAGGAAAAAAAAAAAACAAAAAAAGAGGAAAAAUGUGAGUUAAAAAAGCACAUCUGUAAAAGUUUUAUUAAAAAGAAUAAUCAGAGGGAAAUAGAAUAAAAACUUUUUAGUAGAUGUUCACAUCAAACAAGAAAAAAAUGUAGAGAUUUGAAAAUAAUUUCUUGAAGUCAUGUCGGCUAUAAUUUUAACAGCAGAAAUUGCAUUAAGUAUAGGCAGAAAGAAAGAAAAAGCUCAUUAUCAAAGAUUUGCUUUGAAGUACUGGGCUAUGACAAAGGUACUGCAGUGGAUGAAAGCCAGCUAUAUUCAAGACAUAAUAAUUCAGCAUUUCUCUCCAAGGCACUCUCUAAAGUUUUAUCAAUCAAAACAAAAAUGUACUUAGAAAUAGUGUACAUAUGCAGAGCAAAAGACCAUGAAAGCAAUCUGAAUACAGAAAAGCAGUGAAAAGUCCUUUCCAACUAAUUUAAAGAGAAGCCCUCAUUAAAUAUUUACUGAGUAUAUGUAAGCUUCUAGGCAGUAUGUGAUGUCAAUAUGUAGUCUUUGCUACUUUGAUAGUUUUGUGUUGGAUUUUUCCUGAUGGAUUAAGAGAUAGGAACAUCUUAAUGCUGCAAUGAGAGAACAACAGUAGUCUGAGGUCUUAUGGUUUCAUUGGGCUCAGUAGAUCCUCUGGGACUCAAUUGCUUAUAGGGAAUUAGUGUGUAAAAUAAUCCUAGAUCACUUUAUCUUUCAUUUUAUUGGGAAAAGCAUCUUAAUUACUUCUCUAUGUAUCAGAGCUAAACCAUAUGGAUAAUGUCCUAUCACAAUGCCCUGACAAAAGUCAUGAAAUACUGAGAAACUUGUUGCUGAACAGCAGCCUGCAUCACACUAACAAUUUUCCUUUUCCAAACCAUUUUUAAAACAAGAACAAAGCGUUACUGCUAUGCUUUCUAAAAUAAGUUCUACAAGGCUAAUGAAUAGGAAAAGACAGACAAGACCACUUUUUCUAAGCCCAAGUAUGUAAUUACAUUUCUAACAAAGAGCUGUGAAUGCUGAGUAUUUUUCUGAAAUAAUACAACUGUUCAACCCAGAAUUUUCCAUACUGAAAGAGUUUGCUUUCUGUCCUGCAGGCUGAAAAGUCAUUUAUCCUUUAUCCCUCCAAAAAUUUAUUUCUCUGCCUCUCUCUAGUUUUCUUAUCCUGUACCAACUCCCUUAUUUCAUGCUUUUUUUUUGCUAUAAUCCUAUGUUUUCCUUUAUUCUUCCAAUGUGCUAUUCUUAUUGGAAUGUCCAUUCAGGCAUCCCUCUAAAUAGAUCUUGUUCUGCUGAACAUAGAUGUUAAUGGUGACAAUUUUUUCUCUUUUGUGUCCUCUUUCAAACAGAGUGAAUAAACUAUGACAAAAGUAUUCUCAAAUUGGCUGUUUUUCUUUCCCUCAAAGCAUUCACUGACACCAAUUUGAUCAGAGAAGCACAUGAACUGUUUACAUAAAUUUAGGAAACUGCUUUAAAACCUUAUCCCAAUAGAUGUGUUUGUGAUUGCCUAGGAAAACAGAAGAGACCUCAUAAUCCUAGUCACAUGACAUUUACCACUCCCUCUCUUCCCUUUAUUCCUGUAAUAGGUAUUUAAUGGAGUAGAUCUGUCACUGGUGUAACAGCCAUAUGCUCAUUUCUAUUAGCUUUGAAAAACUGUAGCCAAAAAUCUAUAGCCAGUGAUGGGCUGUUGCAUUCUUAUGUUGACCUGUUAGUUACCCACAGCUAUUCUCCAUUCCCCUUAUCAAAUCUCUGCCAGUUAACACCAAGUGUUCCAGGAAACACUUUUGGCAAGCACAAAGCGGUAAAACUCCUGCUAUUCUGAGCAUGUAUCAAACGGUCCUAUUUUCCUAGAUUUAUAUCAAGCGUGCAUCAAACUCUUACUGGAUAAAAGAAAAGACUGAAGAGAAAUAACUCUAUGCUGACAGCAUGUUGAUAUGGUCUAGAUUCCUAUUUGCCAGCAUGGUAGGAUAAAGAAUAAUACAAGGGAAGAUUUCAACAAAGGCUACUGAGGUCAGACCUUAUGCUAUGUCAAGGACUGAAAAAUGUAAAAAUAAAUGUAGCUGCAUGCCUCCUGAGUAGAAAGAGAAUGAGAUUAAAGACAUUGCUUAAAAAAACCUCUUCAAUAAUAGAUUUUUUUUUAAUGGACUCUCUUCCAGUGCAAUUUUAUUUUAAGGCCCUAGCAAAGACAGCUUCUACAUGGUCUAAUAAAAAACAAUUUUAAGUAGAUUUUGAUAGAAUGCCUUACAAGCUCACAGUAAUUACUGCUUUAUAAAUUGUUUAUGGUUUUCCAACAAGUAUCUCAUAUGUAUAAAAUGAAAGUUUCUAUCAAAUACUUCAUCAAUAGUCUCUUUACGUUAGUUUCAGUAUCUUUUAGGUGUAUUUUACCUUCCUUUUUCUCUCUUUCAGUAGUUAUCUCAAAAGAAAGAGUAGAUUAUAGAGAUGUCUAUGCAGAUAGCACACCCUCAAGCUCUCUAAGCUGCCUUUUCUGACCUUGUGAUGGGAGAUUUGUUAGACUCAUGUGAUUAGAGCUAAAUUGUAGAAGCUGGUCUCCAAUUGGAAAUGGAGCUCGAAGAUCUUUUGCCUUGGUACUAGAUGCAGACAGAAAUGCUGUACUACUAAUGAUCAUUGUGUUUGCACACACUGCAAAAGCCUGACUGAUGGAGGGACUGUUGCUUACAUGAACGAUGCUGCCUGCUGAUGCUAAUCAGUAAUAUCUUGUCUCUGCUAGAGACCAAGACUUUUAAAGGCAACAGAGCAGUAAUAGCUCUUACUGGGCAUGCACCUUAGUAGCAGAUAAAGUUCCUCACUUUUAGAUUCUUUGAUUUCUGAUGUGUGGUGGAUAUUGGUUGCUUCCAUUCCACAGCCACAGUCAGAAAAUAAAGGUCCAUGCCAUGAUCAAUGCACCUAUAUAAUAAAAUAAAAUACAAAACAAAAUAGGCAAACAAACAAAUAAACAAAUAAAUAAAAGGAUGCUUCUAGAUAAAAAUGAAACUUAGAGAGCGAUUGAAGAAAUACGACUCCACAGUUAGGAAAAAGCUGUUGCAGCAGAAGAAUCCUUGCCAGGCUAUUGCUGUCAGGUAUGAGAGAGCUAAAAAUCCUGCCUUAAGUUCUAAAAAGAGUACCUUUACAAGGCUGAAGAAUGCCUGUGGGUAACCUGGAGUGACUGGGCACCACCUUGCUGUGACAAACAACUUCAAAUAUUUGUCACAGGAACAAUCACUGCAGGUGUCUCAGUCCUUUGACUGUGUGCCCGAAGAUCAAAAUUAGACAUUGGAAGACUGUCCCAGUGUAAUCAAGGAAGACUGUUAAGGUGGAUCCAAAGUCCAGGGUUGUGAUAAUGGGAGUCAACAUACAGGAGAGCUACAAAAUCCUCACACAGUUUGGACAAUUUGAACACAAAACUCCUGGAGAAAACAGGGAGCAGAGUAAAAUGAAGCGUUUUACCUAAGAGAAACAAAAUCUAAAGCAUGAAUGAAAUGCUGGAAAAAUUAUAGAUGUGAAUAUUAGCUUCUCCAACUACUACAAGUAUUCCUUCUGUCAGGUGAGUGUGUUAUUCUUCUGUUGAGCAUUGUCUUUUAUGUUAGUGCUGGACAAAACAGAUUUUUUUCUCACUGUUAACUUUCAGAAAUAGAAUUCUGUUUCCUUUCAAUACAACGAUUUAUAAUUAUGUAUAAUAUGCUGCUUUCAUAUGACCAUUUUUUCUAAAUGUAUUUUAUAUUCUUAUCGACGUACUAUGCUCAGUAAAAUCCAUAGUCUUAGGUUUUAAAGAAUCUGCCAAUUCUAUUGGAAUGUUUGACUAUCUAAUAUGUGGAAAUGAAAAUUUGCUUUGAUAUUUAGCCUUUUGGGGAAAAUAUUUAGUGGAGUCCCUUUAUGCAACUCCACUUGCAGAAGCAGUAUUAGCUGUGACACCUCCUGAAGCUGUCAUGAUGAUCAGUGAUGGAAGACAAUGGGUAAAAGUCUCAGCCACUUUCUCACCCUCAUUAAACUUUCUCUUGAGCAGCAUGUGGCACUGCAGAUAAUGAGUUCCAUCUGUGUGUCACCAGUCUCACCUACAGAAAAAAAAGGCAUUCACAUUUGGAGGCAAAAACUUCAGAAAAGCCAAAGUUUUCAGCUAAAAAUAAACCUUUGAUUACUGAGUUGUACAGAACUUCCAUAUAUUCCAAUUACUGUUCCAUGUUUGGUCUUCAGAAAAAGCUUUUAGCAAAAAUGUUGUCAGGUGAUGAAGCUAAUUAGUGAAACUAAAUUAAUUCUGAUAAUCAAAUACCAUCAAUACUCUUCUUCAUCUUUUGCAUUCUUGAGUUGAAAUUCUUUUGUGUUAUCUCACAUACACAAAAAAUUAUCAAAUGACCUGAAAUUGAUAAUAUUUACUAUGACAAAUGUUAAGACUUAAAUGAAGAAAAAAUGGUAAGGGUCAAAAAAUGAAUUACUGCCUAGGUUAUUAUUGAGUUGCAGACACUCUUUUGAAAGUACAAUUCUAUAAUAGCCUGGAAUUCUGAAUGAACUGUUCAUCACAUUUAGUGCAUUUAAAUAGUAAGAACUAUAGUUGUUGAUAGUAUUGUUCAUUAACUCAGUGCAAUAAAAAUAUCCACUACUAUCCACUGUAUUUCUCUGUAAGAGGUAAAGAUACACAUAUUGCUGAUCAAAGCAAAGUUUUCCAUCAAACAAGAAAAAAACUCAAGUCAUCAUAAUAGAACAGUAACUCUGUGCAGUGCCAAUAGCUAUAUAUUGUCACUGCCAUUUGCCAGCCUUUUUCCUUAACUUUGCAAACUAAGAGAUAAUCUCACACAGACUUGCAGUGAAAUUUGCCUAAAUCUAAUAUAAUAUGUAUCAAAACAAAUUUUCUGUGUGCACUAUUAUAUAGUCUCCUAUUGAUCCUAAGAGUAUUUAA
This is a long non-coding RNA of Tympanuchus pallidicinctus (lesser prairie-chicken), 11348 nucleotides long. RefSeq lists it as uncharacterized. The record is from RefSeq and is a predicted model, not a curated record. NCBI's taxonomy places the organism in Eukaryota, Metazoa, Chordata, Aves, Galliformes, Phasianidae. The transcript is spliced from 6 exons.